AUUGAACGCUGGCGGCAUGCCUUACACAUGCAAGUCGAACGGCAGCGGGGGAGAAGCUUGCUUUUCCUGCCGGCGAGUGGCGAACGGGUGAGUAAUACAUCGGAACGUGCCCUGUAGUGGGGGAUAACUAGUCGAAAGAUUAGCUAAUACCGCAUACGACCUGAGGGUGAAAGUGGGGGACCGCAAGGCCUCAUGCUAUAGGAGCGGCCGGUGUCUGAUUAGUUAGUUGGUGGGGUAAAGGCCUACCAAGGCGACGAUCAGUAGCUGGUCUGGGAGGACGAUCAGCCACACUGGGACUGAGACACGGCCCAGACUCCUACGGGAGGCAGCAGUGGGGAAUUUUGGACAAUGGGCGAAAGCCUGAUCCAGCAAUGCCGCGUGUGUGAAGAAGGCCUUCGGGUUGUAAAGCACUUUUGUCCGGAAAGAAAUGGCUCUGGUUAAUACCUGGGGUCGAUGACGGUACCGGAAGAAUAAGGACCGGCUAACUACGUGCCAGCCGCCGCCGUAA
This 508-nucleotide ribosomal RNA is filed under the name uncultured bacterium. RNAcentral's name for it is "partial 16S ribosomal RNA". It matches the Rfam family "Bacterial small subunit ribosomal RNA", at positions 30 to 523 of the family's 1533-position model. The record is from RNAcentral.